GGGCCCGCGGGUCCCCCGGCUACCGUGCGCAUUUAAUAUUAACAUCACGUUCAAAGUUCGCAUUACUAGUUUGUCAAUUAAAAGUUGGAAGCAAAAGCGAAGUUAAUCAAUGUUUUAGUAACAGUAAAAGCAAUUUCGUUUCGUGAAAAACAUCUUCGUAAGUCUAUUUGGAGAUUGUUUCGAGGAACACUUUGGAGAAUAUAUAUUGGCUGGACACCAAUACCUACUGUAUUUAUGAUUCAGAGAUAUUUCCUACAGUUCGAUUCCUCAAAAGGUAUGUUUUAAGAACAAAAAAAAGUGAUCGUUUACGAAAAAA
Long non-coding RNA from Zerene cesonia (dogface butterfly), 316 nucleotides. RefSeq lists it as uncharacterized. Lineage: Eukaryota; Metazoa; Arthropoda; Insecta; Lepidoptera; Pieridae. The record is from RefSeq and is a predicted model, not a curated record. The transcript is spliced from 2 exons.